CUAAACUUUACAAUGCAGGAAACUGUGAUAAGGGAACCCCGAGUGCCCGUAUAUGCGGGCUGUCCGGAUGUUUAAAACGCAUCCGAAGAAAGGGCCGGGCAAGACCGGUGCCAGCCGCCGCGGUAAUACCGGCGGCUCGAGUGGUGGCCACUUUUAUUGGGCUUAAAGCGUUCGUAGCUUGAAUAAUAAGUCUCUUGGGAAAUCUGCAGGCUUAACCUGCAGGCGUUUAAGAGAAACUGUUGUUCUAGGAACCGGAAGAGGUGAGAGGUACUCCGGGGGUAGGAGUGAAAUCCUGUAAUCCCCGGGGGACCACCGAUGGCGAAGGCAUCUCACCAGGACGGCUUCGACAGUGAGGAACGAAAGCUGGGGGAGCGAACCGGAUUAGAUACCCGGGUAGUCCCAGCCGUAAACAAUGCGCGUUAGGUGA
Molecule: ribosomal RNA, 427 nt
Filed under: Methanoplanus sp. enrichment culture clone CIBANICRA-59
Lineage: Archaea; Methanobacteriati; Methanobacteriota; Methanomicrobia; Methanomicrobiales; Methanomicrobiaceae
Description: bacterial SSU rRNA
Rfam family: Archaeal small subunit ribosomal RNA
Source: RNAcentral